Molecule: non-coding RNA, 250 nt
Organism: Pelobates cultripes (western spadefoot toad)
Lineage: Eukaryota; Metazoa; Chordata; Amphibia; Anura; Pelobatidae
Source: the annotation of a GenBank genome assembly
CCCGCCCACCGGCCGGGGAGACCUAGUGCGCAUGCGCGGCAAUGCCGCACAUGCGAAGCAAUGCCGCACAUGCGCAUUAGAGCUUUCCAAUGGGGAAUUGAGCAACGCUGGAGGUCCUCACACAGUGUGAGGACAUCCAGCGACGCUCUAGCACAAAAAACCUGUGCUAUAGACACGGAAGUGCCCUCUAGUGGCUGUCUAGUAGACAGCCACUAGAGGUGGAGUUAACCCUGCAAGGUAAUUAUUGCAG